This is a long non-coding RNA of Onychomys torridus (southern grasshopper mouse), 405 nucleotides long. RefSeq lists it as uncharacterized. The transcript has 2 exons. The record is from RefSeq and is a predicted model, not a curated record. Lineage: Eukaryota; Metazoa; Chordata; Mammalia; Rodentia; Cricetidae.
AGAAACAUGACAAAGAGGAAGAGGACUCCCCAACCUUCUGGAGAUCUGAGGAGGAGAUGGCUGCAGAAGCUGAGGCACUGCGUGUUUACUUUCAGGCAUGAAAGUAACUCAAACAAAUCCUAAGGCAUACGGAAAUGGUCCUCGUUCUUCUGGACUCUGCAGCAUUGGAAAUGAAGCUGAGCAUACUUUAUUAUAUCCCACAAUUCUGCAGCUUUUUGCAAAGCAUUUUAUUGCACUUGUGGAAGCCACUAAGGUUAUGUUUCAAUCACAGUGACUGACAGGCUAACUUCACAAACAGUAGCAUAGACUGUCUGCCACAGUUUCUCAGUUAUAUACUUAGAAUAGGCCCUUUUCCAAAACUGUCCCUUAGCCUGGAUGAAAAUAAAGUGAUAGCUAAAAUAUUUA